Molecule: ribosomal RNA, 253 nt
Filed under: uncultured bacterium
Lineage: Bacteria
Description: partial 16S ribosomal RNA
Rfam family: Bacterial small subunit ribosomal RNA
Source: RNAcentral
UACAGAGGUCCCAAGCGUUGUUCGGAUUCACUGGGCGUAAAGGGUGCGUAGGUGGUGAGGUAAGUCGGAUGUGAAAUCUCCGAGCUCAACUCGGAAAUGGCAUUGGAAACUACCUUGCUCGAGGGUUGGAGGGGGGACUGGAAUGCUUGGUGUAGCAGUGAAAUGCGUAGAUAUCAAGCGGAACACCAGUGGCGAAGGCGAGUCCCUGGACAACUCCUGACACUGAGGCACGAAAGCUAGGGGAGCAAACAGG